UCUGAACGUUCGGAGAAAGUACAUUAAAUUGCUUCCGAGGAUGCAACUUUUCUUUAAAUCCGGAGAACCAACUGCAACAUGUGUUUAAACGAGCGAUAUCUAGAAGAUGCCAAAACAGAAAACUAAAAAUAAAAAUGUCAACUCCAUCAUCUGGAUGCCAUGAGGAUGUUAACAAAGGCCUGAACCACUGUGGGAUCUAAGUCCAGUCCAGCUCUGGGAAAAAGAACUGGGUAAUCAUUAUUCACUAAUGGAGAAUGUAUAUUUUCAUAAAUGUACUCAGAUUACAAAUGG
Molecule: long non-coding RNA, 291 nt
Filed under: Chinchilla lanigera (long-tailed chinchilla)
Lineage: Eukaryota; Metazoa; Chordata; Mammalia; Rodentia; Chinchillidae
Description: lncRNA (ENSCLAG00000025939.1)
Source: RNAcentral